Molecule: ribosomal RNA, 424 nt
Filed under: Verrucomicrobiota bacterium
Lineage: Bacteria; Pseudomonadati; Verrucomicrobiota
Description: Verrucomicrobia bacterium partial 16S ribosomal RNA
Rfam family: Bacterial small subunit ribosomal RNA
Source: RNAcentral
UGAGGAAUAUUGGUCAAUGGGCGAGAGCCUGAACCAGCCAAGUAGCGUGCAGGAUGACGGCCCUAUGGGUUGUAAACUGCUUUUAUAUGGGAAUAAAGUGAGGGACGUGUCCCUUAUUGCAUGUACCAUACGAAUAAGGACCGGCUAAUUCCGUGCCAGCAGCCGCGGUAAUACGGAGGAUACGAGCGUUAUCCGGAUUUAUUGGGUUUAAAGGGUGCGUAGGUGGCUGAUUAAGUCAGUGGUGAAAAGCUAUGGCUCAACCAUAGUCUUGCCGUUGAUACUGGUUAGCUUGAGUGUAGAUGAUGUAGGCGGAACGUGUAGUGUAGCGAUGAAAUGCAUAGAUAUUACGCAGAACUCCGAUUGCGAAGGCAGCUUACAAAACUACUACUGACACUGAGGCACGAAAGCGUGGGUAUCAAACAGG